AGACGGACCGAGGGCCGGAAGUGACGCCAGCUGGCCCGCUUGGGGUGUAGGGGGUGGCGCUCUGUGCUCGGCGGCGCUGCCAUGGCACACAUUACCAUCAACCAGUACCUGCAGCAGGUGUACGAAGCCAUCGACACCAGAGAUGGAGCAUCUUGUGCAGAGUUGGUGUCUUUUAAACAUCCUCAUGUUGCAAACCCACGACUUCAAAUGGCCUCUCCAGAGGAGAAGUGUCAGCAAGUCUUGGAACCCCCUUAUGAUGAAAUGUUUGCAGCUCAUUUAAGGUGCACUUACGCAGUGGGGAAUCAUGACUUCAUAGAGGCAUACAAGUGCCAGACCGUGAUCGUCCAAUCAUUCUUGCGAGCAUUCCAGGCCCACAAAGAAGAAAACUGGGCUCUGCCUGUCAUGUAUGCAGUCGCACUUGACCUUCGAGUGUUUGCUAAUAAUGCAGAUCAGCAGUUGGUAAAGAAAGGAAAAAGCAAAGUUGGGGACAUGUUGGAAAAAGCAGCAGAGUUACUGAUGAGCUGUUUCCGGGUCUGUGCCAGCGACACCCGUGCUGGUAUAGAGGACUCUAAGAAGUGGGGCAUGCUGUUUCUGGUGAACCAGUUGUUUAAAAUCUACUUCAAGAUCAACAAACUCCAUUUAUGUAAACCCCUAAUUAGAGCAAUUGACAGCUCAAACCUGAAAGACGAUUACAGCACUGCACAGAGAGUAACAUACAAAUACUACGUUGGACGCAAGGCCAUGUUUGACAGUGACUUUAAGCAAGCCGAGGAGUACCUGUCAUUUGCCUUUGAGCAUUGUCACCGUUCUAGUCAAAAGAACAAAAGGAUGAUUCUGAUCUAUUUGCUUCCAGUAAAAAUGCUAUUGGGUCACAUGCCCACUGUUGAGCUCCUGAAAAAGUAUCACCUGAUGCAGUUUGCGGAAGUAACCAGAGCUGUGAGCGAGGGCAACCUGCUGCUGCUGCACGAGGCGCUGGCGAAGCACGAGGCCUUCUUCAUUCGCUGUGGGAUCUUCCUCAUCCUGGAGAAGCUGAAGAUCAUCACCUACAGGAACCUCUUUAAGAAAGUGUAUUUGUUACUGAAAACACACCAGCUGUCUCUGGAUGCUUUUCUGGUUGCCUUGAAAUUCAUGCAGGUGGAGGACGUGGACAUUGACGAAGUUCAGUGUAUUCUGGCUAACUUGAUAUACAUGGGCCACAUCAAAGGCUACAUAUCGCAUCAGCAUCAGAAGCUGGUGGUCAGCAAGCAGAACCCAUUUCCUCCGCUGUCCACGGUGUGCUGAGUGUGUCCGAAGCCCUGAGGACGGAUCUGGGGGCUGGGAAGUCCAAGAUCUGGGUGCCGGCAGAUUUGGUGUCUGCUGAGGGCCCUCUGUCUCCAGGAUAGCACCUCGCUGCAGCAUCCUCGCGUGGGAGAAGAGAUGGAAGGGGCUGGCAGAGCCCUCAUGGCCUGAUCACCUCCCGAGGGCCCCACCUCCCCAUGCCGUCAUCUUGGGAGAAACGGGCUCCGAGUUGACCAGCGGUGCUGAGGACGGAGCACACUUGUUGCUGUAGUUGGCGAUUACGGACACUGACAUUUGGCGGAUAUUUAAGGAUAUUUGUUUACGUGCUUUUCGUCUUCCUGGUCUGCAGUCUCCCACUGGGGUAGGUCCAGCCCUGAGGACGCCUGUGUGUGACCCCCAGCCUGUGAGCAGAUUGUGAAUGGUUGAGGCGGGGGUGGGGAGGAGAGGGGGCCCAUGCCAUGAAAAGUAUGGGGGACCUGUCUGGAAGGGGCAACUCAGAAUUCUGCCAGCCCCACCGGGUGUGGUUUCCAGAGGAGAAUCUGAUUGGGAUGAGAGGAAUCCACUGGGGUGAGCCAAAUUGUGGUUCACACAGGCACCUUCGUGUCUACACCCCAAGAGGGGCCCAUUGGGACCCUGGCAGAGGAUGUGAGGCCUGCCUGCCCAGGGAGGCCCUGGGGGAAAGGGACGGCCGGGG
Cercocebus atys (sooty mangabey) is the source of this 1972-nucleotide RNA transcript. It is a transcript of the gene named PCI domain containing 2, with no coding region annotated. The record is from RefSeq and is a predicted model, not a curated record. Lineage: Eukaryota; Metazoa; Chordata; Mammalia; Primates; Cercopithecidae. The transcript has 16 exons.